RNAcentral lists this long non-coding RNA (656 nucleotides) under Homo sapiens (human). RNAcentral's name for it is "HSALNT0223126". Lineage: Eukaryota; Metazoa; Chordata; Mammalia; Primates; Hominidae. The record is from RNAcentral.
CGCUGUGAAAGCUUUAUUCUUUUGCUCUUUGCAAUAAAUCUUGCUACUGCUCAGUCUUUGGGUCCACGCUGCUUUUAUGAGCUGUAACACUCACUGGAAAGUCUGCAGCUUCAUUCCUGAAGCCAGCAAGACCGCGAGCCCCCCGGGGGAGGAAUGAACAACUCCAGAGACGCCACUUUAAGAGCUGUAACACUCACCGUGAAGGUCUGCAGCUUCACUCCUGAGCCAGCGAGACCACGAACCCACCAGAAGGAAGAAACUCCGAACACAUCCGAACGUCAGAAGGAACAAACUCCAGACGCGCCCCCUUAAGAGCUGUAACACUCACCGCGAGGGUCUGCGGCGUCAGUCUUGAAGUCAGUGAGACCAAGAACCCACCAAUUCGGGACACAUAGUGUGAAUGUUCUUUACCGAGAUGUUCAGGCUCUGAAGGACAUCAGAGAUGCUGAUGGUUCCUGGGGAUGGGACGACUCUUCUUGCCAAGGACCCUCCUGAGUCCUCAGAGAGGGCUGAUCAAGGCUGACUCCAGCUGUUCCCAAGCAUCCAGGAUGGCAGCUCUUCUCCAGGCUGUGAUAGGGGCUUUGCUCUAUCUUGGAGUGGGGGCAAGGUCUGGUUGGGUUCUGCCUGAGAGAGACCCUCAUAAAUAAUGAAGCUCC